AGAGUUUGUAUCCUCGGCGUCAGAGCGAACGCUGGCGGCAGGCUUAACACAUGCAAGUCGAGCGGGCGACUUUCGGGUGUCAGCGGCAGACGGGUGAGUAACACGUGGGAACGUACCCUUUGGUUCGGAAUAACGCUGGGAAACUAGCGCUAAUACCGGAUACGCCCUUUUGGGGAAAGGCUUGCUGCCGAAGGAUCGGCCCGCGUCUGAUUAGCUAGUUGGUGGGGUAAUGGCCUACCAAGGCGACGAUCAGUAGCUGGUCUGAGAGGAUGAUCAGCCACACUGGGACUGAGACACGGCCCAGACUCCUACGGGAGGCAGCAGUGGGGAAUAUUGGACAAUGGGCGCAAGCCUGAUCCAGCCAUGCCGCGCGAGUGAUGAAGGCCUUAGGGUUGUAAAGCUCUUUUGUCCGGGACGAUAAUGACGGUACCGGAAGAAUAAGCCCCGGCUAACUUCGUG
Molecule: ribosomal RNA, 459 nt
Filed under: uncultured Methylobacterium sp.
Lineage: Bacteria; Pseudomonadati; Pseudomonadota; Alphaproteobacteria; Hyphomicrobiales; Methylobacteriaceae
Description: bacterial SSU rRNA
Rfam family: Bacterial small subunit ribosomal RNA
Source: RNAcentral